AUGCACGCUGCCAGAAUGCUUAACACAUGCAGGUCUUUGGCGAAGCUGUGCUUGCACCGCCUAGCCAAGGCGGACGGGUGAGUAACGCGUAAGGAACUUGCCCUGCAGUCAGGGAUAACAGACGGAAACGACUGAUAAGACCUGGUAAAGUCAGGCGGACUCAUGUCCAGCCUGAUGAAAAGAGAUGCUGCAGGAGAGCCUUGCGUCCUAUUAGCUUGUUGGUGGGGUAACGGCCCACCAAGGCGAUGAUAGGUAGCCGGCCUGAGAGGGUGGACGGCCACAAGGGGACUGAGAUACGGCCCUUACUCCUACGGGAGGCAGCAGUGGGGAAUAGUGGACAAUGGGGGCAACCCUGAUCCAGCAAUUCUGUGUGCACGAUGAAGGUUUUCGGAUUGUAAAGUGCUUUCAGCAGGGAAGAAAAAAAUGACGGUACCUGCAGAAGAAGCGACGGCUAAAUACGUG
This 462-nucleotide ribosomal RNA is filed under the name uncultured bacterium. RNAcentral's name for it is "partial 16S ribosomal RNA". It matches the Rfam family "Bacterial small subunit ribosomal RNA", at positions 29 to 507 of the family's 1533-position model. The record is from RNAcentral.